AGAGAAAAGAAUAAGACAUUUUGAUUUGUCUCUGGAGAAGGAGAUUAUGUCCAAAUAUACCAGGGAGACAACAUUGGAUGAUAAAGACGAUCAAGCGGAAAUAAGGAGUAAAGAUUUAACAACGACACCCCCACCCUCAACAAAGGAUCUUGUAACAAAGAAAAGUAAG
Xenopus tropicalis (tropical clawed frog) is the source of this 169-nucleotide long non-coding RNA. RefSeq lists it as uncharacterized. The record is from RefSeq and is a predicted model, not a curated record. NCBI's taxonomy places the organism in Eukaryota, Metazoa, Chordata, Amphibia, Anura, Pipidae. The transcript is spliced from 3 exons.